AUCGGAUGCAUGGGAUGCUUUUGUUACAGCACAUGGCGAGAAGAAGACGGGCUGUCAUCUCCAGCGAAGCGUCCUCCAAAGCGCAUCAGCAAAGACACGUUUUCACUAAACAGCCGUGAGGAGAAGCAUUGACAUCAUCUGUUGGUGGUGUGUUUCCAUUUGUUAACCAUUCGUUGUGUGAUUCACACCUAAAGCACUUUCCGGGCCUUUUCAAGCAGACCCU
Molecule: long non-coding RNA, 223 nt
Organism: Labeo rohita (rohu)
Lineage: Eukaryota; Metazoa; Chordata; Actinopteri; Cypriniformes; Cyprinidae
Exons: 3
Source: RefSeq, a predicted model, not a curated record